UCCCUGGUAGCUCAGUGGUAAAGAAUCUGCCUGCAAUGCAGGAGACACGGGUUCGAUCCCUGAUCGGGAAA
RNAcentral lists this transfer RNA (71 nucleotides) under Bos taurus (domestic cattle). It matches the Rfam family "tRNA". Rfam says of the family: Transfer RNA (tRNA) molecules are approximately 80 nucleotides in length. Their secondary structure includes four short double-helical elements and three loops (D, anti-codon, and T loops). Lineage: Eukaryota; Metazoa; Chordata; Mammalia; Artiodactyla; Bovidae. The record is from Rfam by way of RNAcentral. RNAcentral also lists the same sequence under 3 other names.